This 23-nucleotide non-coding RNA is filed under the name Cricetulus griseus (Chinese hamster). The record is from RNAcentral. Lineage: Eukaryota; Metazoa; Chordata; Mammalia; Rodentia; Cricetidae.
GCAAUGCUCUUAACCCCCAAGCC